UACGGAGGGGGCUAGCGUUAUUCGGAAUUACUGGGCGUAAAGCGCACGUAGGCGGAUCGGAAAGUCAGAGGUGAAAUCCCAGGGCUCAACCCUGGAACUGCCUUUGAAACUCCCGAUCUUGAGGUCGAGAGAGGUGAGUGGAAUUCCGAGUGUAGAGGUGAAAUUCGUAGAUAUUCGGAGGAACACCAGUGGCGAAGGCGGCUCACUGGCUCGAUACUGACGCUGAGGUGCGAAAGCGUGGGGAGCAAACAGGAUUAGAUACCCGUGUAGU
This 271-nucleotide ribosomal RNA is filed under the name uncultured prokaryote. Its description in RNAcentral is "partial 16S ribosomal RNA". It matches the Rfam family "Bacterial small subunit ribosomal RNA", at positions 524 to 794 of the family's 1533-position model. The record is from RNAcentral.